Molecule: ribosomal RNA, 1441 nt
Filed under: uncultured organism
Description: SSU rRNA
Rfam family: Bacterial small subunit ribosomal RNA
Source: RNAcentral
ACGCUAGCUACAGGCUUAACACAUGCAAGUCGAGGGGCAGCAUGGUCUUAGCUUGCUAAGACUGAUGGCGACCGGCGCACGGGUGAGUAACACGUAUCCAACCUGCCGUCUACUCUUGGACAGCCUUCUGAAAGGAAGAUUAAUACAAGAUGGCAUCAUGAGUCCGCAUGUUCACAUGAUUAAAGGUAUUCCGGUAGACGAUGGGGAUGCGUUCCAUUAGAUAGUAGGCGGGGUAACGGCCCACCUAGUCUUCGAUGGAUAGGGGUUCUGAGAGGAAGGUCCCCCACAUUGGAACUGAGACACGGUCCAAACUCCUACGGGAGGCAGCAGUGAGGAAUAUUGGUCAAUGGGCGAGAGCCUGAACCAGCCAAGUAGCGUGAAGGAUGACUGCCCUAUGGGUUGUAAACCUCUUUUAUAAAGGAAUAAAGUCGGGUAUGGAUACCCGUUUGCAUGUACUUUAUGAAUAAGGAUCGGCUAACUCCGUGCCAGCAGCCGCGGUAAUACGGAGGAUCCGAGCGUUAUCCGGAUUUAUUGGGUUUAAAGGGAGCGUAGAUGGAUGUUUAAGUCAGUUGUGAAAGUUUGCGGCUCAACCGUAAAAUUGCAGUUGAUACUGGAUAUCUUGAGUGCAGUUGAGGCAGGCGGAAUUCGUGGUGUAGCGGUGAAAUGCUUAGAUAUCACGAAGAACUCCGAUUGCGAAGGCAGCCUGCUAAGCUGCAACUGACAUUGAGGCUCGAAAGUGUGGGUAUCAAACAGGAUUAGAUACCCUGGUAGUCCACACGGUAAACGAUGAAUACUCGCUGUUUGCGAUAUACGGCAAGCGGCCAAGCGAAAGCGUUAAGUAUUCCACCUGGGGAGUACGCCGGCAACGGUGAAACUCAAAGGAAUUGACGGGGGCCCGCACAAGCGGAGGAACAUGUGGUUUAAUUCGAUGAUACGCGAGGAACCUUACCCGGGCUUAAAUUGCAGAUGAAUUACGGUGAAAGCCGUAAGCCGCAAGGCAUCUGUAAAGGUGCUGCAUGGUUGUCGUCAGCUCGUGCCGUGAGGUGUCGGCUUAAGUGCCAUAACGAGCGCAACCCUUGUUGUCAGUUACUAACAGGUUCCGCUGAGGACUCUGACAAGACUGCCAUCGUAAGAUGUGAGGAAGGUGGGGAUGACGUCAAAUCAGCACGGCCCUUACGUCCGGGGCUACACACGUGUUACAAUGGGGGGUACAGAGGGCCGCUACCACGCGAGUGGAUGCCAAUCCCAAAAACCUCUCUCAGUUCGGACUGGAGUCUGCAACCCGACUCCACGAAGCUGGAUUCGCUAGUAAUCGCGCAUCAGCCACGGCGCGGUGAAUACGUUCCCGGGCCUUGUACACACCGCCCGUCAAGCCAUGGGAGCCGGGGGUACCUGAAGUGCGUAACCGCGAGGAGCGCCCUAGGGUAAAACUGGUGACUGG